Molecule: ribosomal RNA, 301 nt
Filed under: uncultured bacterium
Lineage: Bacteria
Description: partial 16S ribosomal RNA
Rfam family: Bacterial small subunit ribosomal RNA
Source: RNAcentral
CAGCAGCCGCGGUAAUACGAAGGGUGCAAGCGUUAAUCGGAAUUACUGGGCGUAAAGCGUGCGUAGGCGGUUUGUUAAGUCUGCUGUGAAAUCCCCGGGCUCAACCUGGGAAUGGCAGUGGAUACUGGCAAGCUAGAGUGUGUCAGAGGAUGGUGGAAUUCCCGGUGUAGCGGUGAAAUGCGUAGAGAUCGGGAGGAACAUCAGUGGCGAAGGCGGCCAUCUGGGACAACACUGACGCUGAGGCACGAAAGCGUGGGGAGCAAACAGGAUUAGAUACCCCUGUAGUCCCUGUCUCUUAUAA